RNAcentral lists this ribosomal RNA (252 nucleotides) under uncultured prokaryote. Its description in RNAcentral is "partial 16S rRNA". It matches the Rfam family "Archaeal small subunit ribosomal RNA", at positions 475 to 726 of the family's 1478-position model. The record is from RNAcentral.
ACCGGCGGCUCGAGUGGUAACCGUUAUUAUUGGGUCUAAAGGGUCUGUAGCCGGCCGGAUAAGUCUCUUGGGAAAUCCAGCAGCUUAACUGUUGGGCUUUCAGGAGAUACUGUCUGGCUCGAGGCCGGGAGAGGUGAGAGGUACUUCAGGGAUAGGGGUGAACCCGUGUCAUCCUUGAAGGACCAGCAGUAACUAAGGGGUCGCACCCGAACGGGCUUGACGUCAAGGGACUUAAGCUACUUGAACGAACCG